This 253-nucleotide ribosomal RNA is filed under the name uncultured bacterium. RNAcentral describes it as "partial 16S ribosomal RNA". It matches the Rfam family "Bacterial small subunit ribosomal RNA", at positions 524 to 776 of the family's 1533-position model. The record is from RNAcentral.
UACGUAGGUGGCAAGCGUUGUCCGGAAUUAUUGGGCGUAAAGCGCGCGCAGGUGGUUUCUUAAGUCUGAUGUGAAAGCCCACGGCUCAACCGUGGAGGGUCAUUGGAAACUGGGGAACUUGAGUGCAGGAGAGAAGAGUGGAAUUCCACGUGUAGCGGUGAAAUGCGUAGAGAUGUGGAGGAACACCGGUGGCGAAGGCGGGAUCCUGGGCCAGUACUGACGCUGAGGAGCGAAAGCGUGGGGAGCAAACAGG